Molecule: ribosomal RNA, 558 nt
Filed under: uncultured bacterium
Lineage: Bacteria
Description: bacterial SSU rRNA
Rfam family: Bacterial small subunit ribosomal RNA
Source: RNAcentral
GCAGAUUAGGUAGUUGGUGGGAUAAAAGCUUACCAAGCCGACGAUCUGUAGCUGGUCUGAGAGGACGACCAGCCACACUGGGACUGAGACACGGCCCAGACUCCUACGGGAGGCAGCAGUGGGGAAUUUUGGACAAUGGGCGAAAGCCUGAUCCAGCAAUGCCGCGUGCAGGAUGAAGGCCUUCGGGUUGUAAACUGCUUUUGUACGGAACGAAAAAGCUUCUCCUAAUACGAGAGGCCCAUGACGGUACCGUAAGAAUAAGCACCGGCUAAUUACGUGCCAGCAGCCGCGGUAAUACGUAGGGUGCGAGCGUUAAUCGGAAUUACUGGGCGUAAAGCGUGCGCAGGCGGUUAUGUAAGACAGAUGUGAAAUCCCCGGGCUCAACCUGGGAACUGCAUUUGUGACUGCAUGGCUAGAGUACGGUAGAGGGGGAUGGAAUUCCGCGUGUAGCAGUGAAAUGCGUAGAUAUGCGGAGGAACACCGAUGGCGAAGGCAAUCCCCUGGACCUGUACUGACGCUCAUGCACGAAAGCGUGGGGAGCAAACAGGAUUAGAUACC